CGGAUUGCAGGCUGCAACUCGCCUGCAUGAAGUCGGAAUUGCUAGUAAUCGCGGAUCAGAAUGCCGCGGUGAAUACGUUCCCGGGUCUUGUACACACCGCCCGUCACACCAUGGGAGUCGGAAAUGCCCGAAGUCUGUGACCCAACCGGAAGGAGGGAGCAGCCGAAGGCAGGUCGGAUGACUGGGGUGAAGUCGUAACAAGGUAUC
This 207-nucleotide ribosomal RNA is filed under the name uncultured bacterium. Its description in RNAcentral is "partial 16S ribosomal RNA". It matches the Rfam family "Bacterial small subunit ribosomal RNA", at positions 1294 to 1500 of the family's 1533-position model. The record is from RNAcentral.